UAUUUCCCACUACUUGAUUUUAUUUUCAUCUUAUUAUUUUCAUUUUUUUUCCAUUUAUUUUUGCCAUUUAUAAUUUGAUUUUUAAUUCAUUUAUUUCAUUUUGUCUUAAUUAGAUUUUUCUUUUAUUUUUACUACUUUAUUUUGAUAUUCUAGCAUUGAUAAAUUGGACACUUCAUCACCUUUUAUUCUUGUAAUUCAAUUGCUUGCAAUCUAACUCCUAACUACUAACUCU
RNAcentral lists this long non-coding RNA (232 nucleotides) under Lathyrus oleraceus (garden pea). Its description in RNAcentral is "Pisum sativum (pea) long non-coding RNA (PSAT_LNC011676)". Lineage: Eukaryota; Viridiplantae; Streptophyta; Magnoliopsida; Fabales; Fabaceae. The record is from RNAcentral.